UAGGGAAUCUUCCACAAUGGGCGAAAGCCUGAUGGAGCAACGCCGCGUGUGUGAUGGAGGGUUUCGGCUCGUAAAACACUGUUGUAAGAGAAGAAUGACAUUGAGAGUAACUGUUCAAUGUGUGACGGUAUCUUACCAGAAAGGAACGGCUAAAUACGUGUCAG
This 164-nucleotide ribosomal RNA is filed under the name uncultured bacterium. Its description in RNAcentral is "partial 16S rRNA". It matches the Rfam family "Bacterial small subunit ribosomal RNA", at positions 355 to 511 of the family's 1533-position model. The record is from RNAcentral.